CUCAGGAGAGACUCAUAUACCUGUGAGACAAGAUCUGAGAAUACAGCCAGGUUCAGUGCAAGCAAUGGAAAUCAGUCUGAACUUUUCCUUCUCUGCUUGAGAAUGUUACAAACCACAAGUGUAGUUGUAGAGAAGAAAAGGGAGUUGUAGCUGCAAGAUGGUUCUUCUAAGAAAAGGAUGCUUUCAUUUCACAUUGCACAAAUAGCAGGGUUAUACUGUGAACUUAAGAACUUUCACUGGAAACCCAGCUCCUUUUUAAAGCACUGAAAGAUUUUGGACUAGAAGCUCAGCAGCUGUAAUCCACAUUCCCCAUGAACUGCAGGGGUCAUUGUUCAGAAUGGCAGUUACAGGUGUUUAGCUUUCAAGUGUAUACAAAAAAAAACCC
This 385-nucleotide long non-coding RNA is filed under the name Cyanistes caeruleus (blue tit). RNAcentral's name for it is "lncRNA (ENSCCEG00000001753.1)". The record is from RNAcentral. Lineage: Eukaryota; Metazoa; Chordata; Aves; Passeriformes; Paridae.